GCAGAGUUCUCGGAGUCACGAAGAGUUUGAUCCUGGCUCAGGAUGAACGCUGGCGGCGUGCUUAACACAUGCAAGUCGAACGGGAUCCAUCAGGCUUUGCUUGGUGGUGAGAGUGGCGAACGGGUGAGUAAUGCGUGACCGACCUGCCCCAUACACCGGAAUAGCUCCCGGAAACGGGUGGUAAUGCCGGAUGCUCCGACUCCUCGCAUGGGGUGUCGGGAAAGAUUUCAUCGGUAUGGGAUGGGGUCGCGUCCUAUCAGGUAGUCGGCGGGGUAACGGCCCACCGAGCCUACGACGGGUAGCCGGCCUGAGAGGGCGACCGGCCACAUUGGGACUGAGAUACGGCCCAGACUCCUACGGGAGGCAGCAGUGGGGAAUAUUGCACAAUGGGCGCAAGCCUGAUGCAGCGACGCCGCGUGCGGGAUGACGGCCUUCGGGUUGUAAACCGCUUUUGAUCGGGAGCAAGCCUUCGGGUGAGUGUACCUUUCGAAUAAGCACCGGCUAACUACGUGCCAGCAGCCGCGGUAAUACGUAGGGUGCAAGCGUUAUCCGGAAUUAUUGGGCGUAAAGGGCUCGUAGGCGGUUCGUCGCGUCCGGUGUGAAAGUCCAUCGCUUAACGGUGGAUCUGCGCCGGGUACGGGCGGGCUGGAGUGCGGUAGGGGAGACUGGAAUUCCCGGUGUAACGGUGGAAUGUGUAGAUAUCGGGAAGAACACCAAUGGCGAAGGCAGGUCUCUGGGCCGUUACUGACGCUGAGGAGCGAAAGCGUGGGGAGCGAACAGGAUUAGAUACCCUGGUAGUCCACGCCGUAAACGGUGGAUGCUGGAUGUGGGGCCCGUUCCACGGGUUCCGUGUCGGAGCUAACGCGUUAAGCAUCCCGCCUGGGGAGUACGGCCGCAAGGCUAAAACUCAAAGAAAUUGACGGGGGCCCGCACAAGCGGCGGAGCAUGCGGAUUAAUUCGAUGCAACGCGAAGAACCUUACCUGGGCUUGACAUGUUCCCGACAGCCGUAGAGAUACGGCCUCCCUUCGGGGCGGGUUCACAGGUGGUGCAUGGUCGUCGUCAGCUCGUGUCGUGAGAUGUUGGGUUAAGUCCCGCAACGAGCGCAACCCUCGCCCUGUGUUGCCAGCACGUCAUGGUGGGAACUCACGGGGGACCGCCGGGGUCAACUCGGAGGAAGGUGGGGAUGACGUCAGAUCAUCAUGCCCCUUACGUCCAGGGCUUCACGCAUGCUACAAUGGCCGGUACAACGGGAUGCGACACGGCGACGUGGAGCGGAUCCCUGAAAACCGGUCUCAGUUCGGAUUGGAGUCUGCAACCCGACUCCAUGAAGGCGGAGUCGCUAGUAAUCGCGGAUCAGCAACGCCGCGGUGAAUGCGUUCCCGGGCCUUGUACACACCGCCCGUCAAGUCAUGAAAGUGGGUAGCACCCGAAGCCGGUGGCCUAACCCUUUGUGGAUGGAGCCGUCUAAGGUGAGACUCGUGAUUGGGACUAAGUCGUAACAAGGUAGCCGUAGUCCUGUGUGAAGUGAUCCGCUAAUCUCGACCUGC
RNAcentral lists this ribosomal RNA (1548 nucleotides) under Bifidobacterium pseudocatenulatum. Its description in RNAcentral is "bacterial SSU rRNA". It matches the Rfam family "Bacterial small subunit ribosomal RNA". Lineage: Bacteria; Bacillati; Actinomycetota; Actinomycetes; Bifidobacteriales; Bifidobacteriaceae. The record is from RNAcentral.